Molecule: ribosomal RNA, 764 nt
Filed under: uncultured bacterium
Lineage: Bacteria
Description: bacterial SSU rRNA
Rfam family: Bacterial small subunit ribosomal RNA
Source: RNAcentral
AUACAUAGGUAACCUGCCCCUGUGCGGGGGAUAACAGGAGGAAACUCCUGCUAAUACCGCAUAGCCAUGAGCACCGCAUGGAGCUCAUGCCAAAUAUCCUUUCGGGGAUAGCGCAGGGAUGGACCUAUGGCGCAUUAGCUUGUUGGCGGGGCAACGGCCCACCAAGGCAACGAUGCGUAGCCGGCCUGAGAGGGCGGACGGCCACAUUGGGACUGAGACACGGCCCAGACUCCUACGGGAGGCAGCAGUAGGGAAUUUUCGGCAAUGGGGGAAACCCUGACCAAGCAACGCCGCGUGAGCGAAGAAGGCCUUCGGGUCGUAAAGCUCUGUUGUAAAGGAAGAACGGCGCAUACAGGAAAUGGUAUGCGAGUGACGGUACUUUACCAGAAAGCCACGGCUAACUACGUGCCAGCAGCCGCGGUAAUACGUAGGUGGCGAGCGUUAUCCGGAAUCAUUGGGCGUAAAGAGGGAGCAGGCGGCCGCAAGGGUCUGUGGUGAAAGCCCGAAGCUAAACUUCGGUAAGCCAUGGAAACCGGGCGGCUAGAGUGCGGAAGAGGAUCGUGGAAUUCCAUGUGUAGCGGUGAGAUGCGUAGAUAUAUGGAGGAACACCAGUGGCGAAGGCGACGGUCUGGGCCGCAACUGACGCUCAUUCCCGAAAGCGUGGGGAGCAAAUAGGAUUAGAUACCCUAGUAGUCCACGCCGUAAACGAUGGUCACUAAGUGUCGGGGGUCAAACCCCGGUGCUGCAGUCAACGCAAUAAGUGA